RNAcentral lists this long non-coding RNA (264 nucleotides) under Elaeis guineensis (African oil palm). Its description in RNAcentral is "long non-coding RNA (EGUI_LNC027072)". Lineage: Eukaryota; Viridiplantae; Streptophyta; Magnoliopsida; Arecales; Arecaceae. The record is from RNAcentral.
UUCAACAGUAGCCGACUCCUGUAUGGCUUCCUCCAUAACUAGAACAGACUCUGGUGCAACCAGUGCAGCUUCUUCAGUCGACACUACUCCUUCAACAACCUCUUCUUCUUUCGAACCAGGGUCGGUGAUACUGCUCAGGUCCAAGUCUGGGUAUAAUUUUCUAACCGCAUCCCUGUUGUCUUCAUAGCCGAGACAGUAAGAGGCAUAGCCACCCUUGAGGAUUUCAUUUUUGAAAUUUUCAGAUUCUUUGUAAUCCUCAACAGC